AAAUCUGAAGUAAAUUGUUACAUUUAGUUUCGACCUAAAAGAUUGAUCGUAUAGAUCCAGAUUUU
RNAcentral lists this transfer RNA (65 nucleotides) under Daphnia pulex (common water flea). Its description in RNAcentral is "tRNA-Arg". The record is from RNAcentral. RNAcentral also lists the same sequence under 1 other name. Lineage: Eukaryota; Metazoa; Arthropoda; Branchiopoda; Diplostraca; Daphniidae.